RNAcentral lists this ribosomal RNA (253 nucleotides) under uncultured bacterium. RNAcentral describes it as "partial 16S ribosomal RNA". It matches the Rfam family "Bacterial small subunit ribosomal RNA", at positions 524 to 776 of the family's 1533-position model. The record is from RNAcentral.
UACAGAGGUCUCAAGCGUUGUUCGGAUUCAUUGGGCGUAAAGGGUGCGUAGGCGGCGCGGUAAGUCGGGUGUGAAAUCUCGGAGCUUAACUCCGAAACUGCAUUCGAUACUGCCGUGCUUGAGGACUGGAGAGGAGACUGGAAUUUACGGUGUAGCAGUGAAAUGCGUAGAUAUCGUAAGGAAGGCCGGUGGCGAAAGCGAGCCUCUGGACAGUUACUGACGCUGAUGCACGAAGGCCAGGGGAGCAAACGGG